CAGGUCUCUCACAUCCUGGGAACUGGAAGCCAUGAUUGAACAAGGUCUAAAAUGAGCCUGUGGAUCAGAAUGGCCUGGUACUUUUUCCGAUAGAGUGCAAUCCAAAUACCACAAUGGCUAGCGUGUAGGUUAGAGUGUGGAGAAGAAGCCUUAAAACACUGCAGUCGGCUUGUUGCUACGAGUGGAACCAAGGAAGGGGAUGAAGACAGGAUGGAGUUGACCCUCAGAAGGAUGCACCAGAGACAAGGGCAGAGGAGCCAAAACAGAGCCACAGUACUAAAUCAGGACUGAAUCACACCUGUCCUGCUGAUUUGGACUGUGCUGAUAUAGUAGGAUUACCUUCUUUCCUUUUGUGUGUAAGAAACUGAAGCACACAGCUCUAGUAACUUAUCAGAACCUCAUGCUCUGAUAGUUCAAAUCCAAAGUGUUAGUUAUUUUUGAAUCCCAUCCACCACUUUUAUGUCUUUGGGGUUAGAACCCAGAUACUCACAAUAUGCUAGGUUUGCAUUCCAUUACUGAGCUACUUGCUCAAGCCUCUCUAGUUCUUUGAUGCUUUCUCCAAACAUGAGUAAGAGCAAUGCUUUUUCCUCUUCACUCAGGGAAAAUUAACAGACGCUGACUCCGUUGAAGAGCCAUUGGGCAAAGGUGGGAAGAAAUAGAACAAUACAGCCCCUGUAACAGAAAAAAAGUUGCACUAAAGCCAAUGCAAUAAAUGGAAUCAUUUCCAAAUGGCCAGUGUUAGAUACUCAGCAAAAGACUUAUUAAAAACCCUCACGGAUAUAUUGAAAUCCAGAUGAGGGGAUGUCAAGAGGAAUGAAGGUCUGAUGUACCUGGUGGAGUGGUGGGAAGUGGACACUCCUAGCUGGACACAGAGGGCACCUGUAACAACUGAGUUCUCAUAGGCAGUUGACCGGCACUUUCAUAAUCCUGUAGAAAGUGUGUGGAAAUGGAUUUUACAGGCUCUUCGCUAAGGACAGAGGAACAGUCUCAGACUAGGUUGAGGGCAUGGAUAUGAGAGACUCAUGCUCUGGCUAGCUAAGAGCAGCUGGAAGUAGACACCACUGUUUGUUCAAUUGCUUGACAGAAUCCUGGACUCGUGGUGCCAACAUUAAACAGGGUUGAGAUGUCAUAAAUUCCUUGAUAUGAAGGAAGGGAAAGAAUCCAAAGACUUCGAGAUAGGAAUGCUGGAGUGAAUUUAUCAUGUGUGACUUUCCUUCUCCCUCCCUAACUACGUCUCCUGGGAGAGAGCAAAGAACACUCCUCUGGCCACAGUCUGGAGAUAUAGCCUUCCAAGGGGAACACAGCAAGUGCUCUCUGCAGCCUUGGUGAAUUGAGGAGAGAUUAGGUUGACACAGGCUCCCCAGAGGCAGUGGAAUUUGAAUGGCCCGCAGUCUGGAAGCCGACAUGAGAACUUUUCAAUAGCAGAAGGGGAGGCUGAAGGAAACUUUUUUGUUCCUUGUCCAUUUCCACAUAAACAUUGCUUUAAUCUGGGCAAUGAGAUUUCUCCUACUUCAGUUUCCCAGAUUCAAUGCUGAAACUUGAGCAAGUAAACUAAGAUUCCAGAAGGUAAGAUACUUUGGGAUAAGAACCUACCUACUCAACUCUACCCUACUUAACUUUUCAUAUUUUCCAAAACUAAAUGUGAUUAAAAAAAAAAAAAAUCCUCACUUGCCUUCAAAUGUCAUGACCUCCCCAACUUGUGAGCUAGACCUCAGUGAGACUGUUCUUGAUUUAGCUCCUUAACUGGCCCAAAUUCUCCGUCCUUGAGAAAUUACCCAAGGUGUCCACUCAGCUCUGCCUGACUCUACACAAGCUUCCGGUGUCAGGAAAAACAGCUCUGUCUUGUG
Molecule: long non-coding RNA, 1847 nt
Organism: Meriones unguiculatus (Mongolian gerbil)
Lineage: Eukaryota; Metazoa; Chordata; Mammalia; Rodentia; Muridae
Exons: 3
Source: RefSeq, a predicted model, not a curated record